CAGUCGCCACGGGAAUACGAAGGGGGCUAGCGUUGCUCGGAAUUACUGGGCGUAAAGGGCGCGCAGGCGGACAGUUCAGUCGGGGGUGAAAGCCCGGGGCUCAACCUCGGAAUUGCCUUCGAUACUGGCUGUCUUGAGUAUGAGAGAGGUGUAUGGAACUCCGAGUGUAGAGGUGAAAUUCGUAGAUAUUCGGAAGAACACCAGUGGCGAAGGCGGCUUACUGGCUCAUACUGGACGCUGAGGUGCGAAAGCGUGGGGAGCAAACAGGAUUAGAUACCCCUGUAGUCCCUGUCUCUUAUAA
This 301-nucleotide ribosomal RNA is filed under the name uncultured bacterium. Its description in RNAcentral is "partial 16S ribosomal RNA". It matches the Rfam family "Bacterial small subunit ribosomal RNA", at positions 509 to 809 of the family's 1533-position model. The record is from RNAcentral.